GAUGAACGCUGGCGUCUGCUUAACACAUGCAAGUCGAACGGGUGUAGAAAUACAUUAGUGGCGGACGGGUGAGUAACGCGUGAGAAUCUGGCUUCAGGUUCGGGACAACCACUGGAAACGGUGGCUAAUACCGGAUGUGCCGAAAGGUAAAAGGUUUACUGCCUGAAGAUGAGCUCGCGUCUGAUUAGCUAGUUGGUGUGGUAAGAGCGCACCAAGGCGACGAUCAGUAGCUGGUCCGAGAGGAUGAUCAGCCACACUGGGACUGAGACACGGCCCAGACUCCUACGGGAGGCAGCAGUGGGGAAUUUUCCGCAAUGGGCGAAAGCCUGACGGAGCAAGACCGCGUGAGGGAGGAAGGCUCUUGGGUCGUAAACCUCUUUUCUAUGGGAAUAAGCAAGUGAAGGUACCAUAGGAAUCAGCAUCGGCUAACUCCGUGCCAGCAGCCGCGGUAAUACGGAGGAUGCAAGCGUUAUCCGGAAUGAUUGGGCGUAAAGAGUCCGUAGGUGGUGAUUCAAGUCGAUUGUUAAAGAGCGGGGCUUAACCCCGUAGCAGCAGUGGAAACUGAAUCACUAGAGAGAGGUAGGGGUAGAGGGAAUUCCCGGUGUAGCGGUGAAAUGCGUAGAGAUCGGGAAGAACACCAGUGGCGAAAGCGCUCUACUGGGCCUCAUCUGACACUGAGGGACGAAAGCUAGGGGAGCGAAAGGGAUUAGAUACCCCUGUAGUCCUAGCCGUAAACGAUGGAUACUAGGUGUUGUCUGUAUCGACCCGGACAGUGCCGUAGCUAACGCGUUAAGUAUCCCGCCUGGGGAGUACGCACGCAAGUGUG
Molecule: ribosomal RNA, 826 nt
Filed under: uncultured bacterium
Lineage: Bacteria
Description: bacterial SSU rRNA
Rfam family: Bacterial small subunit ribosomal RNA
Source: RNAcentral